AAAUUUCGAAAAAAAAGGGGUAUAAGAAAAAAAAAAAAAGGGAUCUGAUUGUUAAAGAUUGUGAUUCAAAAAAAAAAAAAAGUUCUAUUUUUUUCCUUGCCACACUCUUAAAAUUCUCCUGGUUUCCUUUGUUUUAGAGUCUUUUUUUUUGUGUGCUGUUUUUUUAAGUUUUUUGUGUGUUGAUUAUCAUCUGAAAUUGAUUUCUUUGUGUUGAUUUUGGUUUCUCUAAAGAAC
This 234-nucleotide long non-coding RNA is filed under the name Lathyrus oleraceus (garden pea). RNAcentral's name for it is "Pisum sativum (pea) long non-coding RNA (PSAT_LNC002029)". The record is from RNAcentral. Lineage: Eukaryota; Viridiplantae; Streptophyta; Magnoliopsida; Fabales; Fabaceae.